RNAcentral lists this ribosomal RNA (450 nucleotides) under uncultured Glomeromycotina. Its description in RNAcentral is "SSU rRNA". It matches the Rfam family "Eukaryotic small subunit ribosomal RNA", at positions 569 to 1017 of the family's 1831-position model. The record is from RNAcentral. Lineage: Eukaryota; Fungi; Glomeromycota.
AGCAGUCGCGGUAAUUCCAGCUCCAAUAGCGUAUAUUAAAGUUGUUGCAGUUAAAAAGCUCGUAGUUGAAUUUCGGGAUUGACACAUCGGUCGUGCCUUAAGGGGUAUGAACUGGUGUAGUCAAUUUCUCACCUUCUGGAGAACCGCGAUGCCCUUAAUUGGGUGUCACGGGGAACCAGGACCUUUACUUUGAAAAAAUUAGAGUGUUUAAAGCAGGCAUUUUGCUUGAAUACAUUAGCAUGGAAUAAUAAAAUAGGACGGCAUGAUUCUAUUUUGUUGGUUUCUAGGAUCACCGUAAUGAUUAAUAGGGAUAGUUGGGGGCAUUAGUAUUCAAUUGUCAGAGGUGAAAUUCUUGGAUUUAUUGAAGACUAACUACUGCGAAAGCAUUUGCCAAGGAUGUUUUCAUUAAUCAAGAACGAAAGUUAGGGGAUCGAAGACGAUCAGAUACCG